Jatropha curcas is the source of this 109-nucleotide non-coding RNA. NCBI's taxonomy places the organism in Eukaryota, Viridiplantae, Streptophyta, Magnoliopsida, Malpighiales, Euphorbiaceae. The record is from Rfam.
AGGCAAUGUGAUGUGGGCACUUUCUCAAUAAGUCCUUGAAUCUUUCCCAAGCUUCAUACAAGCUUUCUUGAUCAUGGUGAGCGAAUGUCAUUAUCUUAUUGCCCAGUUU